This 274-nucleotide ribosomal RNA is filed under the name uncultured bacterium. RNAcentral's name for it is "partial 16S ribosomal RNA". It matches the Rfam family "Bacterial small subunit ribosomal RNA", at positions 523 to 796 of the family's 1533-position model. The record is from RNAcentral.
AUACGGAGGGUGCGAGCGUUAAUCGGAAUUACUGGGCGUAAAGCGCGCGUAGGCGGUUGGAUAAGUCGGAUGUGAAAGCCCCGGGCUCAACCUGGGAAUUGCAUUCGAAACUGUCCGGCUAGAGUAUGGUAGAGGGAAGCGGAAUUCCACAUGUAGCGGUGAAACGCGUAGAUAUGUGGAGGAACACCAGUGGCGAAGGCGGCUUCCUGGACCAAUACUGACGCUGAGGUGCGAAAGCGUGGGGAGCAAACAGGAUUAGAAACCCCUGUAGUCC